AGACAGUUCGGCAAGGAGGCCGGGCCCCUGUCCCGCCUCUGAGGGCGGAGGACUCAGCCUGCACCGGACCCAAGCGAGGGGCAGUCUGGCCUCUGCUGGCAGAAGCAGCGCUUCCAAGUAUUUUCAUAUGGUGGCUUUGCAGAGCUGCGCGGUCCAGACGAGGGUUUCAGGCUGCAAAGCGGGAAAGUCUUGGGGGCCGCUCUGCGCUCCAAGACACGCCCACAAUCUCUUCUACGUCGUGCAACAUUCAAGUAGGAGGCCUCCUUCCCGCGCUUUCGCGCCCACAGGCUGGGCCAAUCACAGUGCCGCACUUUUCAUACUGCCCAACAGGCGGUGGGCGGGCCGCCGGUGACCGUUACCCGACAGGCGCCGCGGCUGCUCCGGUGGCGCCACUGGCGCGGAGGCUGCUGCGGAGAGCGGGGCGCUGGCCCGUGGAGGCGGCAGCGGCGGCGGCUAUCUAGCGGCUCCGACAUUAUAUAUCUUUGAGUGAUGCAGGCCACUGCAGUGGUGGAGACAGCAUCUGGUAAAGGCUACCACAGUAAUGGAGGCAACCUCCAAAAAGAUAAACCUUCAAAUCCAAAGAAAGAAAAUGUGUUAUUAUCCUCCAAUGGUUGUGAUGAAGUCAAAGUGACUUUUCCUGAUGAUGACUGGGAUUCUUUGACACUAGAGCAAAGAGCUAAUAAUAAAGAAAUCAGCAAUAUUGACAAAAUGGAUUUAUUAGAACCAUUUUUUUCAGUGAGUCAAGAUACUAACACAGAGAGUACUCACUUUCAGUCAAGUGAACUUGAAGACAGUACUGACUAUGCUUUCUUGAAUAAAACAUAUUCUAUACCUUAUUCAGAGUCAAAACUAAAGAAGGAAAGUCUUACUCCUUUAAGUUCAGAAUUAGAUCCUGAAGUGCAGAAAAAAGAGGAGGUGUUUUUUGAUAUUUUGGAACAUCAAGAUAAGACUGUUGGCUUGGAAAGAAUCUACAAUAUUUCAGAUACUAAUUACAGAGAAAGUGCUGAAGAUACACAAAAGCAUGAUACAGAUGAAGACUCACAGCAGGAAUAUCACAGUGCAGAAGAACAAGAAUACAUAUGUAACCAUUUAUCUUUUGACCAAACAAAAACAUUAGGUAUAUCUAAUCCAGAAGUUGUUGAAUUAGGAAAUGCAGGUUAUGAAGUUAAAUGUGCUAGCAAUGUAGAAGAUAAUCGUGUUAACUCGGGAAGUGGUUCAAUCAUCUCAUUAGAUUCACUUGAUGUUUAUGGACAAGAAGAGUCACUUCAUGUCUCCAAAUUUCAGAAUUCUGUUAUGUUAAGAGAAUAUCAUGACCUAAAGCAUGAAAAGUGUAAGGAACAAGAGACUAGUUCAAUGUACCACACUGUAUUUGAUGGCAGUGUACUAAGAAGCAAUUCUUCAGGAAACCAGGAAUCUCAAUCUAAGAGUGGUUCCUUGAGCCCUCAAAAAGUAUUAAAAAUGAAAAUUUAUACUGAAAACAUGAAAUCUCAAAUAAAUGAAAGUAAAGAUUUUUGUGGAAAUAAAAUUGUUGAGAACAAAAUGUUACUGCACCUUGAAAAUCCUAGCACAUUACCACAGGAUAAAGCUUUAGAGACAUUACCCCAACCCUGUAAAGAUUGUCAAACUUCCUGGACCUCUGUUUUUGAUGAUUCAAUAAUUUCUGCCUGUGGAUAUUAUGAAAGCCUACAAAACACCUCUGACUCAGCCUUAGAUUUUUCUGCUAUGCUACCAAAGAUCGCAGUCAGAGAUAAUCAGGCAAUAGAAGAUAAUACUUCCCUAAAAGUUGCUCAUAGCAGUACCGCAAAGAAAACAUGCUUUCACAAUAUACAAGGAAUGUGUACUAAAUCAUUGAGAGAUGCAGCAAGUUGUACAGUCACAAUUAAUCAGACAGUGGACGUUAGCACUGAUUUUAGGGCUUGUUUCACAACCAGCAGGGCAACAAGUGCGAGACCUUCUGUGGUAUCUACAUCAAGCAACACAGAGAUAACAAUGAUGAAUAAAAAACGGCCUGAUGAAUGGCAAAAUGAGAAACAAAAAAGUGUGGCUUGUAGUACAGAUUGGUCAUACAGUGAAGAUUGUAUAGAUACACAGAUGGCUAUAACAAAAGGAUCAGGAAAAUCUCCCUCAGUUGACAGUUUAAAACCUAAUGGAAAUUUUCUAAAUAAGGAUUUCCUGGAAUUAAGAAAACCAUGUGGUAUCACAGACCUAAAGAAACAUCCUGAGAGGGAAGUUCAACUUUUUAAAGAUACAGAAAAGGAUUUGCCAUCAAUGUGCUGUCAGAAGAUAAUGCAGAGAGCCAUGAAAGCAGAGCUGCACCUUUUAAAUGUUCACUAUCAGAUGUGUCGUCGCCAUUGUUGUGAUAUUUACAAACUUGUAAUGGAAAAUAGGGAAGGAUUAAAUAUGUGUUUAUUAAUUUAAAAUCUGUUUUUUCUUAGAGAUUUGUCACUAGCUUUAAGUUUAUUCUAGAGAGUUUCUCUAAUUUUCAUUUUUGAAGAGUAAAAUGAGGAGUAGAUUGUUACUGGGUUUGUUAGUUAGCCUAAGGGUAAUAGAACCCUUGAGUUUCAUGGAGGGGCCACAGUGCAUGGUUGACAUGAUGAAUCCAGUGAAAACAUAGAUUUGUUGUUUCUUUAUAAAGUUCAAGUAAGGAUGAAGUUAGAGAGUUUUUGCAUGACAUGCUGCCACACUUUCUCUGGCUUAUGUGUCAAGAGUUGUUUGUACUGCCUUUAGAAAAACACAUUUACUGUGGUUCAUUUUUUUGUUUCACUCAGCAUUUAAAAGAAAAUAUUUAGAGUUCUAGUAAAAUUAGAACCAAGUGGGGUUGGACAAGGUGGCUUGUGCCUAUAAUGCCAGCACUCUGGGAAGCUGAGGCAGGAGAAUCACUUAAGGCCAAGAGUUCAAGACCAAUGUGGGUAACAUAAUGAGACCCCCGUCUCUACAAUACUUUUUUUUACAAAUUAGCUGAGGAUUGUGGCACACAUGUAGUCCUAGCAACUUGCGAGGCUGAGACAGGAGGAUUGCUUGAGCCCAGGAGUUCAAGAACCAAGUGUAUAAUAUAAAAUUAGUGUUAAAUGGAUGACUUGGGCCUAAAUAAUUUAGUUUUGUGCACUCAACUUUUGAACAGGAAUUUAUCAAGUAAUUCUGCCAAGAAGGAAUUGGGAUCAGCACUACUGUCUCUUUUGAGGGACUUAAAAGUUAGAUAUGUGACUUUGAAAGAAAAAAUACACAAAGGCAUACCGCUAGAAGAGCUGCCCCCACUGUCACUAGAAUCAAAAUUAUUAUCUACCUUCUCUACUUUUGCUUCCAGGCUAAUGAAAAAGGAAACACAUGUCUUUUCAGAAGCAGGUGCUGAACAAGAUGAUCAGAGGGCUCAUGAUGUUGAUGUUUCUUCGAACCUAAAAAAGACACUCUCUCAAAUGUCUUUAUCAUCUGACAAUAGUCAUGCUACACAAAACAUAUCACCCAAGAAAGAUGACUUUAAAAAUGGUGAUAUAAAUGCAGACUUUAGUCAACUGAAACUUGAUGAUAAAGACUGCAGACAUUACCAAGAGAUAAGUGAAGACUGGUCUGAUGCUAAAGAGAACCUGACAGGAGUUGACAUCUCCGGAACACAAGAAAAUCAAAUAGAACAAGACAGGGGGAAUUUGGAUCUUACAGUAGAAAUGAAGAAUGUUGAACCCUCACAAAGAGAUAAAAGUUAUUUGAUACAUGUUGGUGGCCUCUGCCCUUCAGUAUCUGAGGCCGAUUUAAGGUCUCAUUUCCAAAAAUACCAAGUUUCUGAAAUUUCAAUUUAUGAUUCUUCUACUAAUUACAGAUAUGCAUCUCUUGCUUUUACAAAAAACAGCGAUGCAAAGAUAGCUGUGAAGGAAAUGAAUGGGAUAGAAAUAAAUGGAAAGUCAGUAAAUGUGCGGCCUGUUAAAAUUCUUGGAGAAUAUACAUCACCACUUUCCUCCAAAAAUGGGAAUAGAAUUAGUUCGAAUAAUUUAGAGAAAAGCACCAACAAACAAAUCCACUCAGCCUUCUCCAUUUCUAGAUUGCCCAGAACUAGGCCAUGGCAGCUGGGUUCUGAGCAAGACAGUGAGGUUUUCCCUUCCAACCAGGGUGUCAAGAAGAAUUGUAAGCAGAUUGAAUCUGCUAAAUUAUUACCUGAUACACCUGUUCAAUUCAUACCUCCAAAUACAUUGAACCUUCGUAGCUUUACCAAGAUCAUAAAGAGACUGGCUGAACUGCAUCCAGAAGUCAGCAGAGACCAUAUUAUAAAUGCACUUCAGGAAGUGAGAAUAAGACAUAAAGGUUUUCUGAAUGGCUUAUCUAUUAAUACUAUUGUGGAGAUGACUUCAUCUCUUCUGAAAAACUCUGCUUCCAGUUAGGAAUUCAAAAACAAUAAAGAGAAUUUCCUUGGAAAGUGUGUUUCCUCCUUCAGAGAAUGUUCUACAGCACUUAGGAAAAAGUAGUAAUAACAAGAUGAUGUAAUUAAAUAGGCUCUAUAAAUGGGCUAAGCUGUUAAAAUAUUCUAUUUUAUAUCCCUCCUUUAAAAUCUAGCAACAGUUGUCUAUACAAUAUUAAGAUCUUCUCUAUAUAUUUAAAGUUAAAGUAUAAUUUUAAUAAGUUUUUAAAUUUUUUUAUUUCAAUUUUGUUACUUAGAACAUCAAGGUGCAUAUUUGUGAUCUAAAGAAAUUGUCUUGUCCAUUUUUAAAACCUUUAUUAAGUCACUUUUAAAAUGUAUUGACCAAGAAGGAGGUUUGUUGUUACAUCAGUGUUUGUGAAAUGAUUUCUAUACAUAAAAAAUGUAAUUUACCUGAACUUUGUCUUAAGACUCUUACAUUGGAUUACAGGAUAACAGAUAAAUAAACUGUAUAGAUACAUUCAGUAUCAUACAACAUUUUGGAAUGUGUAUGCUUUCAGGCUUCCAAGAUAAUUAAAUUACUGUCAUGAUACAUUUCAUGCAUUUUUAUGACUUCAGUAUAAAACAUUCAGGUGUGUUAGCCUUCACUGGGAAGGGUAAACUUGUAUGUGCUUUGGUAAAGUACUUAAAUUCCAAUGUUCCCUAUAGUGCUUGCAUUCAUUUUGUGAAAAGUUCUGUUGUAUUGUUAGAACAAUUUUCAAAGGCUAAUUUUAUGCCUUAUCUGAUAGAAAUAUAGAAUAGACGGUUAAUUGCUUACUUUUUAAAAGGAAUAUAAUAUUUAAGUUCCAUUUUUAUUAAUAGUAAGAUUAACAUUUAAGUCUGCAUUUUCUUUAAAUGUUUUAAAUGUUUAUAGCAUUCAAUGUUUAGUUGGUUUUACUUGACUAAAAAUUAGCCCUUUAACGUUUAUAUUUGAUGUAUUUAUAUUUAAUAAAGGCAUCUAAUCUUUAGUA
RNAcentral lists this small RNA (5352 nucleotides) under Pongo abelii (Sumatran orangutan). RNAcentral describes it as "retained intron". The record is from RNAcentral. Lineage: Eukaryota; Metazoa; Chordata; Mammalia; Primates; Hominidae.